CAGCAGCCGCGGGAAUACGGAGGGUGCAAGCGUUAUCCGGAUUUAUUGGGUUUAAAGGGUCCGUAGGCGGAUCUGUAAGUCAGUGGUGAAAUCUCACAGAUUAACUGUGAAACUGCCAUUGAUACUGCAGGUCUUGAGUAAAUUUGAAGUGGCUGGAAUAAGUAGUGUAGCGGUGAAAUGCAUAGAUAUUACUUAGAACACCAAUUGCGAAGGCAGGUCACUAAGAUUUAACUGACGCUGAUGGACGAAAGCGUGGGGAGCGAACAGGAUUAGAUACCCCUGUAGUCCCUGUCUCUUAUAC
This 301-nucleotide ribosomal RNA is filed under the name uncultured bacterium. Its description in RNAcentral is "partial 16S ribosomal RNA". It matches the Rfam family "Bacterial small subunit ribosomal RNA", at positions 509 to 807 of the family's 1533-position model. The record is from RNAcentral.